Molecule: ribosomal RNA, 497 nt
Filed under: uncultured bacterium
Lineage: Bacteria
Description: partial 16S ribosomal RNA
Rfam family: Bacterial small subunit ribosomal RNA
Source: RNAcentral
GAUGAACGCUGGCGGCGUGCCUAAUACAUGCAAGUCGAGCGAACGGACGAGAAGCUUGCUUCUCUGAUGUUAGCGGCGGACGGGCGAGUAACACGUGGAUAACCUACCUAUAAGACUGGGAUAACUUCGGGAAACCGGAGCUAAUACCGGAUAAUAUUUUGAACCGCAUGGUUCAAAAGUUAAAGACGGUCUUGCUGUCACUUAUAGAUGGAUCCGCGCUGCAUUAGCUAGUUGGUAAGGUAACGGCUUACCAAGGCAACGAUGCAUAGCCGACCUGAGAGGGUGAUCGGCCACACUGGAACUGAGACACGGUCCAGACUCCUACGGGAGGCAGCAGUAGGGAAUCUUCCGCAAUGGGCGAAAGCCUGACGGAGCAACGCCGCGUGAGUGAUGAAGGUCUUCGGAUCGUAAAACUCUGUUAUUAGGGAAGAACAUAUGUGUAAGUAACUGUGCACAUCUUGACGGUACCUAAUCAGAAAGCCACGGCUAACUACGUG